UACGUAGGGGGCAAGCGUUAUCCGGAAUUACUGGGCGUAAAGCGCACGCAGGCGGUUCGCCAAGUUUGGAGUGACAGUUGUCGGCUUAACCGACAAAGGACUUCAAAAACUGGUGAACUUGAGGACGAGAGAGGAACAUGGAACUCCAGGUGUAGUAGUGAAAUGCGUAGAUAUCAUUUGGAACGCCAAUGGUGAAAACAGCUCGCUGGGGAUGUACUGACGCUGAGACACGAAAGCCAGGGGAGCAAACGGG
RNAcentral lists this ribosomal RNA (253 nucleotides) under uncultured bacterium. RNAcentral describes it as "partial 16S ribosomal RNA". It matches the Rfam family "Bacterial small subunit ribosomal RNA", at positions 524 to 776 of the family's 1533-position model. The record is from RNAcentral.